UACGGGGGGGGCAAGCGUUGUUCGGAAUUACUGGGCGUAAAGCGCACGCAGGCGGUCUUUUAAGUUUGACGUGAAAGCUCCCGGCUUAACUGGGAGAGGUCGUUGAAGACUGGAAGACUUGAGGCAAUGAGAGGGGUGUAGAAUUCCCGGUGUAGUGGUGGAAUGCGUAGAUAUCGGGGGGAAUACCAGUGGCGAAAGCGGCCCCCUAGCGUUAGCCUGACGCUCAUGUGCGAAAGCGUGGGGAGCGAACGGG
Molecule: ribosomal RNA, 253 nt
Filed under: uncultured bacterium
Lineage: Bacteria
Description: partial 16S ribosomal RNA
Rfam family: Bacterial small subunit ribosomal RNA
Source: RNAcentral